RNAcentral lists this ribosomal RNA (468 nucleotides) under uncultured bacterium. Its description in RNAcentral is "partial 16S ribosomal RNA". It matches the Rfam family "Bacterial small subunit ribosomal RNA", at positions 28 to 507 of the family's 1533-position model. The record is from RNAcentral.
GACGAACGCUGGCGGCGUGCUUAACACAUGCAAGUCGAACGGAAAGGCCCUGCUUUUUUGGGGUUCUCGAUUGGCGAACGGGUGAGUAACACGUGAGUAACCUGCCCUUGACUUUGGGAUAACUUCAGGAAACUGGGGCUAAUACCGUAUAGGAUCUCCUGCUGCAUUGUGGGGGUUGGAAAUUUUCGGCGGUUGGGGAUGGACUCGCGGCUUAUCAGCUUGUUGGUGGGGUAGUGGCUUACCAAGGCUUUGACGGGUAGCCGGCCUGAGAGGGUGACCGGCCACAAUGGGACUGAGAUACGGACCAGACUCCUACGGGAGGCAGCAGUGGGGAAUAUUGCACAAUGGGCGGAAGCCUGAUGCAGAAACGCCGCGUGCGGGAUGACGGCCUUCGGGUUGUAAACCGCUUUCGCCUGUGACGAAGCGUGAGUGACGGUAAUGGGUAAAGAAGCACCGGCUAACUACGUG